CUAGCGGCGGACGGGUUAGUAACGCGUGGGAACGUACCCUUUUCUACGGAAUAGCCUCGGGAAACUGAGAGUAAUACCGUAUACGCCCUUUGGGGGAAAGAUUUAUCGGAGAAGGAUCGGCCCGCGUUAGAUUAGAUAGUUGGUGGGGUAAUGGCCUACCAAGUCUACGAUCUAUAGCUGGUUUGAGAGGAUGAUCAGCAACACUGGGACUGAGACACGGCCCAGACUCCUACGGGAGGCAGCAGUGGGGAAUCUUAGACAAUGGGCGCAAGCCUGAUCUAGCCAUGCCGCGUGAGUGAUGAAGGCCUUAGGGUCGUAAAGCUCUUUCGCCUGUGAAGAUAAUGACUGUAGCAGGUAAAGAAACCCCGGCUAACUCCGUGCCAGCAGCCGCGGUAAUACGGAGGGGGUUAGCGUUGUUCGGAAUUACUGGGCGUAAAGCGCGCGUAGGCGGACAUUUAAGUCAGAGGUGAAAUCCCAGGGCUCAACCCUGGAACUGCCUUUGAUACUGGGUGUCUUGAGUUCGAGAGAGGUGAGUGGAAUUCCGAGUGUAGAGGUGAAAUUCGUAGAUAUUCGGAGGAACACCAGUGGCGAAGGCGGCUCACUGGCUCGAUACUGACGCUGAGGUGCGAAAGUGUGGGGAGCAACCAGGAUUAGAUACCCUGGUAGUCCACACCGUAAACGAUGAAUGCCAGUCGUCGGG
This 700-nucleotide ribosomal RNA is filed under the name uncultured Alphaproteobacteria bacterium. RNAcentral's name for it is "bacterial SSU rRNA". It matches the Rfam family "Bacterial small subunit ribosomal RNA", at positions 92 to 827 of the family's 1533-position model. Lineage: Bacteria; Pseudomonadati; Pseudomonadota; Alphaproteobacteria. The record is from RNAcentral.